CACAUCUGGCACAUGGUCCCAUUUGGCCAUUUCAGUGAUUCGACUGAUUUCACCAAAACACCAACAGACUGAAUGGAGAAUCACCAACCUUUCUCUGGGCCUGUCUGACUGCUAUUGUGUUUGAUGGAGACAAGCAAUGGGAAAAGAGCAAGAGUGACUGCACUGACUCGGAAUAUUGAGAGAGAGCUUAAAGAAGAGGAAGGUGUAACGUUUGACCUGAAAUCAGUACUCCAUUCUGUUGCCUGAAGACUAGUUUCCUCGGCAGAAGAGGAUAAAAGCGUAUUUGGGACACUUACUGCUUGAAGACUUGGUAUAUUCCAGUAUUUCUAUUAAAAUGAAUACUGAUUGAAAACUUGUCAGAGUAGUAUCGAAAUAUGUCCUUGCUGUACGAUGGAAUCCUUCUACUAGUUGUGUCACUGUCACAUGACCAGCAGAACCAAAAUACAUCAGUCAUUGAUCAUUAAGAAUUUGACAAUCCCCUGAUGUCAAGGUACUAAUGUUAAUUAAAGUGCUAGUUGAAAGUGACAAGAAAUUUUCUUCAGAAGUACAUAUUACAUGAUCUCUCUCUACACUGUUUGUUACUCAAUGCGUCAAAGACACUGUUGAGAUACAGUUUGUGUAAUUUUGAAUUUAUUGGGCGAAGCCCUUACUUACAAGAACUUGAACGUACGUCUGGGCGUGACUGGGAGGUGCGGUCUGGAGGCGGAGCCCCUCAAUGUUUUACAUUCUUUCUAGUAUUAUUAUUGUUAAGUUGUAUACUCUCCUAGUCAUAUCCUCUAAAUAGGGUGAUUAAAUAUGAUUGGUUCAAGUCAUAGAGCCCCUCCCCUAGUCAUGAAGCCUUUUUGCUUUUAAUUACUGAGUUUUGUGAUAACAUUCAUCCAAGAGUUCAUGAAAAAGCAAUGAACGCACUAGUACAUUUACUAAGUGUUGCUAAUUUUACACUGUUGUAGAAAAGUCUUGUCUGACGAUUGGAUACCUUCAAGAGGUGAGCUUGCAAUGCAUUUACAUAUAACAUACA
Amphimedon queenslandica is the source of this 1018-nucleotide long non-coding RNA. RefSeq lists it as uncharacterized. The record is from RefSeq and is a predicted model, not a curated record. The transcript has 4 exons. Lineage: Eukaryota; Metazoa; Porifera; Demospongiae; Haplosclerida; Niphatidae.